Molecule: long non-coding RNA, 253 nt
Organism: Clarias gariepinus (North African catfish)
Lineage: Eukaryota; Metazoa; Chordata; Actinopteri; Siluriformes; Clariidae
Exons: 3
Source: RefSeq, a predicted model, not a curated record
CCUAAAGAAUUUACUGACAGAAGACGAGGAUGUUGUGGAAGUGCUUUAUUUGGAUUUCACAGUGAAAGGAAUAGAACUCAUUCCGAAUGGAGCAGAAAUCCCAGUCACAAAAGCCAACAGGCAGAAAUAUGUGGACUUGUACGUCAACUUUGUUUUUAACAAGUCUGUAGAAGGACAGUUUAGGAAGUUUAAGGAAGGUUUUUCUUGUGGAAGCCCCUUUGAUCUCUGGAGGUUGUUCAAGCCUGAGGAACUC